This 1139-nucleotide ribosomal RNA is filed under the name Staphylococcus aureus. RNAcentral describes it as "partial 23S ribosomal RNA". It matches the Rfam family "Bacterial large subunit ribosomal RNA", at positions 378 to 1523 of the family's 2925-position model. Lineage: Bacteria; Bacillati; Bacillota; Bacilli; Caryophanales; Staphylococcaceae. The record is from RNAcentral.
GUCGAAAAUGUUGUCUCUCUUGAGUGGAUCCUGAGUACGACGGAGCACGUGAAAUUCCGUCGGAAUCUGGGAGGACCAUCUCCUAAGGCUAAAUACUCUCUAGUGACCGAUAGUGAACCAGUACCGUGAGGGAAAGGUGAAAAGCACCCCGGAAGGGGAGUGAAAUAGAACCUGAAACCGUGUGCUUACAAGUAGUCAGAGCCCGUUAAUGGGUGAUGGCGUGCCUUUUGUAGAAUGAACCGGCGAGUUACGAUUUGAUGCAAGGUUAAGCAGUAAAUGUGGAGCCGUAGCGAAAGCGAGUCUGAAUAGGGCGUUUAGUAUUUGGUCGUAGACCCGAAACCAGGUGAUCUACCCUUGGUCAGGUUGAAGUUCAGGUAACACUGAAUGGAGGACCGAACCGACUUACGUUGAAAAGUGAGCGGAUGAACUGAGGGUAGCGGAGAAAUUCCAAUCGAACCUGGAGAUAGCUGGUUCUCUCCGAAAUAGCUUUAGGGCUAGCCUCAAGUGAUGAUUAUUGGAGGUAGAGCACUGUUUGGACGAGGGGCCCCUCUCGGGUUACCGAAUUCAGACAAACUCCGAAUGCCAAUUAAUUUAACUUGGGAGUCAGAACAUGGGUGAUAAGGUCCGUGUUCGAAAGGGAAACAGCCCAGACCACCAGCUAAGGUCCCAAAAUAUAUGUUAAGUGGAAAAGGAUGUGGCGUUGCCCAGACAACUAGGAUGUUGGCUUAGAAGCAGCCAUCAUUUAAAGAGUGCGUAAUAGCUCACUAGUCGAGUGACACUGCGCCGAAAAUGUACCGGGGCUAAACAUAUUACCGAAGCUGUGGAUUGUCCUUUGGACAAUGGUAGGAGAGCGUUCUAAGGGCGUUGAAGCAUGAUCGUAAGGACAUGUGGAGCGCUUAGAAGUGAGAAUGCCGGUGUGAGUAGCGAAAGACGGGUGAGAAUCCCGUCCACCGAUUGACUAAGGUUUCCAGAGGAAGGCUCGUCCGCUCUGGGUUAGUCGGGUCCUAAGCUGAGGCCGACAGGCGUAGGCGAUGGAUAACAGGUUGAUAUUCCUGUACCACCUAUAAUCGUUUUAAUCGAUGGGGGGACGCAGUAGGAUAGGCGAAGCGUGCGAUUGGAUUGCACGUCUAAGCAGUAAG